This 329-nucleotide small nuclear RNA is filed under the name Echinops telfairi (small Madagascar hedgehog). Its description in RNAcentral is "7SK RNA (ENSETEG00000022237.1)". It matches the Rfam family "7SK RNA". Rfam says of the family: 7SK was discovered as an abundant small nuclear RNA in the mid-70s but a possible function has only recently been suggested. Two independent studies have found that 7SK RNA binds the CDK9/cyclin T complex (known as elongation factor P-TEFb). P-TEFb activates transcription by phosphorylating the C-terminal domain of RNA polymerase II. Lineage: Eukaryota; Metazoa; Chordata; Mammalia; Afrosoricida; Tenrecidae. The record is from RNAcentral.
GGAUGUGAGGGCGAUCUGGCUGCGACAUCUGUCACCCCAUUGAUCGCCAGGGUUGAUUCAGCUGAUCUGGCCGGCUAUGGGGGUGUCCCUUUCCUCCCUCAUCCAUGUGCGUCCCUCCCGAAGCGUGCAAAGCUGCACGCUCGGUUGAAGAGGACAACCUUCCCCGAUAGAAGGAAGACCCUCCGGUCAAGGGUAUACGAGUAGCUGCGCUCCCCUGCUGGAACCUCCAAACAAGUCUCAAGGUCCAUUUGUAGGAGAACUUAGGGUAGUCAAGCUUCCAAGACUCCAGACACAUCCAAAUGAGGAGCUGCAUGUGGCAGUCUGCCUUU